This 2617-nucleotide long non-coding RNA is filed under the name Ailuropoda melanoleuca (giant panda). Its description in RNAcentral is "lncRNA (ENSAMEG00000027377.1)". Lineage: Eukaryota; Metazoa; Chordata; Mammalia; Carnivora; Ursidae. The record is from RNAcentral.
ACGCCGCCGCGCGCCGGCCCAGCGGCCGGGCGCAGCCGGGGAGCCCUCCGCGCCGCGCGCCGCCGCCUCCCCUACACUGCCGCAGCGCGCCGCAGUCCGGCCUCCCCGCCCAGCGCGGGGAAGGCUGGCUGGCCGCCUCGUCACGUGUCCUCGGCGAUCGCCCAACAGUUCCGGUGGUGAGGAGUCCUUUCCAAAUAUCAGAGGAAUAAAGAAGUCACUUCCCCAGCUGUCAUCAUCUGCCUACACAUUGAGCAAGAAUAUUUCAAGCACUAUAGAAAAGACAGUCCUUCGAACCCUAGAAGAUGAUCAGCCAUCUGAUUUUUUCAAGACAGGGAAUAGGGUGAUGAAAUCUCAUCAGAAAAGCNGCCAUCUGAUUUUUUCAAGACAGGGAAUAGGGUGAUGAAAUCUCAUCAGAAAAGCACGUUGACGGUUUAUUUUAACCAGGAUUCUUGCGAUUGGAUCAGAGCUGCUGAGGACCAGCAGGGGCUCACUAGAGAACAUAAGCACAAUUUCAUCCCCACGAUUUCUGAUACCCACCCCAACACAGCCUCAUGUUCUAAAUGCUGCAGACAAGAAUCCUGCCGUGUCCCGCAGACGGCGCCCGAGAGUGGAGUCCUGGCCUGCUGUGGUUGGUCACGUCCAAGCCACCCAGUGUCCUGCCAGUCUGGGGACAUGUCACUGUCUUCAGAGAAGUGCCUCUCAUCUCUGAGAGUUGUUGACCUACAUGUUGUGUUUAAACCAACUUAAAUAAUCCAAGGUUUAAAAAAAAAAAAGUGUAGAGAAAGUUAAGAACACCUGCAGGUUUAGAAUCAGUUAACAGAAAAAGUUGUAAAAACAUCCAAGAACAGACUGCAAAAACCUGUCCGUGUUAGCCAAGGUUCCUUAGGCUGAGACUAUUUCUCAACUCUGUAAGGACCACGCCGGCUGAAGGUUCAUGACUGACGGGCAGGGCAGAGCGGGUGCCGGUGUCGACACAGACAGGGGCAUCGUUGGUCUCAUGGCAGCGACGGGCUGAAAGGAGGAAGGCUUGUCCUGGUUCCCAAGCCAGUAGGCUAGUUUCCAGAAAGACGGAACAGUCUCUACCUUUCAUGAUUCAAAUACUGUCUGUUUUCUCUUACUAUUUCACUUACUCAAGUAGUUAAAAAUAGAGAACUCUAGGUGGUACUGUGUUUCAAGGUCACAGAGAGGCAGUAUUUAUGAUUUAUUCAUGUCCGUAUACAGAGGCCCAUUUCAAAUGGCCUGACCCCAUCGAGCAUGUUUGUUAUUUCUCUUAUAAUUAUUGUAUGCUUGGUUUUGUACCCAAUAAAAUGAAACAUGUCUAAGUUUUUGUGAAGCUGGGUUUUUCCUCCCUUGAGGUCAAUUAAACAGUAGGAAAUGUCUGGGUUUUUUGGGUACGGUUUUGUUUUGCUUUUCAUGCAAUUCUCUUCCUGAGUUUGUCUCAUUUCUGCCCAGUCAUCUCACAGAACCGUGAGGCAGGAGACUCUGCGCCGUGUCCUUUCUUAAUACUCAGCAACGUACCUGCCAACGUGACUAGGUGCCCCUGGGAAGCACCACUGGUGUGGUUUUUUCUUUAAUUUUUUAUUAUGUUAGUCACCAUGAUGUUGUGUUCCAUGAUUCAUCGUUUGCAUAUAACACCAAGUGCUCCAUGCAAUACGUGCCCUCCUUAAUACCCAUCACCGGCACUGGUGUUUUCUUGAGUCCCUGUUCCUCUUAUUCCCCCCAGAAGGUGUCAAACAGUUAGGGAGCCAGGACGGAAAUUCCGUAACAGUAAAGUGAUGUGAUGGGAGCUCGUGCACGAACGUGCCCCUCCUGGGCUGGGCGUCUGCUCUCCCCAGGAGCGCCUACAGCUGCAAACAUUCUCGGAGGCCCUUUGCUCCUUUUUCUAAACUCCUUUCUGACAAGGAGGUGCAUUCUUUUGAGUCCGCCAAAUAGUGGAGAUUUAAAAAAUAAUUCUGGGGCAUUAAAAAGCAAAAUUCCACCGAGAAAAUUUUAUAGAUCUUAUUGGUUUUAUUUAGUGAUGCGUGAGUUGGGCAGCAUUCCAUCCAGCAGGUGGAAAGGAGCUCCAAGGAGUGUGCAACAGGAAGGACUUCUAUAGGCAGAAGGGAGUGGGCACGAGGAAGUUGUACCAGAAAAGAAAGUGGCUGGGUUAUUGCAAACUCACUGUCCUUUCGGGGGUAGCUGGGGUCUUAUCAGGCGGAUGACCUCCCUAGAGAUGAUCAGGUGACUCCUGACUGCCUGGUUGAAGAUCCCGCUCUGGGAGAGCCCAGACUCUGAGUAAGGCCGGGUUCUGUGGCCGGCUGGGUAAAGUCACCCAUAUGGGCCUGUGGUUCUUAUCGGGGGGUUUAAAAAUAAUUUUCUGGCAGUUGGAAAGUUAACCAUGUUGGAGGUUUUAAAUCAUAAAUUUGUACAUAAAAUGGUAGAUGAUUUUUGGAUGUUGCUGUUUUAUCAUCCACGAGGUGGCAAAGAAACCUCUCGACCUAACCUAAAACCACCUCAGCCUAAUGGUCUCCAUAUCAAGCACAGAAUAAUGCUCAAUGAAGGAACAUAGACCAUUAAUUUGUAAAAAUCUUCCUAGAGACCCUGCUUUAAACAAUAGGAUUCAAAUAUCCCUGUCCUU